RNAcentral lists this ribosomal RNA (433 nucleotides) under uncultured bacterium. RNAcentral's name for it is "partial 16S ribosomal RNA". It matches the Rfam family "Bacterial small subunit ribosomal RNA", at positions 29 to 507 of the family's 1533-position model. The record is from RNAcentral.
AACGAACGCUGGCGGCAUGCCUAACACAUGCAAGUCGAACGAGACCUUCGGGUCUAGUGGCGCACGGGUGCGUAACGCGUGGGAACCUGCCCUUAGGUUUGGAAUAACUCCCCGAAAGGGGUGCUAAUACCGGAUCAUGUCUUCGGACCAAAGAUUUAUCGCCUUUGGAUGGGCCCGCGUUGGAUUAGCUAGUUGGUAGGGUAAAAGCCUACCAAGGCGACGAUCCAUAGCUGGUCUGAGAGGAUGAUCAGCCACACUGGGACUGAGACACGGCCCAGACUCCUACGGGAGGCAGCAGUGGGGAAUAUUGGACAAUGGGCGAAAGCCUGAUCCAGCAAUGCCGCGUGAGUGAUGAAGGCCUUAGGGUUGUAAAGCUCUUUUACCCGGGAUGAUAAUGACAGUACCGGGAGAAUAAGCUCCGGCUAACUCCGUG